This 253-nucleotide ribosomal RNA is filed under the name uncultured bacterium. RNAcentral describes it as "partial 16S ribosomal RNA". It matches the Rfam family "Bacterial small subunit ribosomal RNA", at positions 524 to 776 of the family's 1533-position model. The record is from RNAcentral.
UACGGGGGGGGCAAGCGUUGUUCGGAAUUACUGGGCGUAAAGGGCUCGUAGGUGGCCAACUAAGUCAGACGUGAAAUCCCCAGGCUCAACUUGGGAACUGCGUCUGAUACUGGAUGGCUUGAAUUCGGGAGAGGGAUGCAGAAUUCCAGGUGUAGCGGUGAAAUGCGUAGAUAUCUGGAGGAAUACCGGUGGCGAAGGCGGCAUCCUGGACCGAGAUUGACACUGAUGAGCGAAAGCUAGGGGAGCAAACAGG